GACGAACGCUGGCGGCGUGCUUAACACAUGCAAGUCGAGCGGUAAGGCCCUUUCGGGGGUACGACGAGCGGCGAACGGGUGAGUAACACGUGGGUGACCUGCCCUUAGCUCUGGGAUAAGCCUGGGAGGACUGGGUCUAAUACCGGAUAUGACUCCAUGACGCAUGUUGUGGGGUGGAAAGCCUUGUGCGGCUAGGGAUGGGCCCGCGGCCUAUCAGCUUGUUGGUGGGGUGAUGGCCUACCAAGGCGACGACGGGUAGCCGGCCUGAGAGGGCGACCGGCCACACUGGGACUGAGACACGGCCCAGACUCCUACGGGAGGCAGCAGUGGGGAAUCUUGCGCAAUGGGCGAAAGCCUGACGCAGCGACGCCGCGUGGGGAGUGACGGCCU
RNAcentral lists this ribosomal RNA (390 nucleotides) under uncultured bacterium. Its description in RNAcentral is "bacterial SSU rRNA". It matches the Rfam family "Bacterial small subunit ribosomal RNA", at positions 28 to 417 of the family's 1533-position model. The record is from RNAcentral.